RNAcentral lists this ribosomal RNA (447 nucleotides) under uncultured bacterium. RNAcentral describes it as "partial 16S ribosomal RNA". It matches the Rfam family "Bacterial small subunit ribosomal RNA", at positions 29 to 523 of the family's 1533-position model. The record is from RNAcentral.
AGCGGACGCUGGCGGCAGGCUUAACACAUGCAAGUCGAACGCCCCGCAAGGGGAGUGGCAGACGGGUGAGUAACACGUGGGAACGUACCCUUUGGUUCGGAAUAACUUGGGGAAACUCAAGCUAAUACCGGAUAAGCCCUUAUGGGGAAAGGUUUACUGCCGAAGGAUCGGCCCGCGUCUGAUUAGCUAGUUGGUGAGGUAAUGGCUCACCAAGGCGACGAUCAGUAGCUGGUCUGAGAGGAUGAUCAGCCACACUGGGACUGAGACACGGCCCAGACCCCUACGGGAGGCAGCGGUGGGGAAUAUUGGACAAUGGGCGCAAGCCUGAUCCAGCCAUGCCGCGUGGGUGAUGAAGGCCCUAGGGUUGUAAAGCCCUUUCGGCGGGGAAGAUAAUGACGGUACCCGCAGAAGAAGCCCCGGCUAACUUCGUGCCAGCAGCCGCCGUAA